GAUGAAGAACGCAGCGAAAUGCGAUAAGUAAUGCGAAUUGCAGAAUUUCCGUGAGUCAUCGAAUCUUUGAACGCACAUUGCGCCCCUUGGUAUUCCAUGGGGCAUGCCUGUUCGAGCGUCAUUUGUACCUUCAAGCUCUGCUUGGUGUUGGGUGUUUGUCUCGCCUCUGCGUGUAGACUCGCCUCAAAACAAUUGGCAGCCGGCGUAUUGAUUUCGGAGCGCAUUACAUCUCGCGCUUUGCACUCAUAACGACGACGUCCAAAAGUACAUUUUUACACUCUUGACCUCGGAUCAGGUAGGGAUACCCGCUGAACUUAAGCAUAUCAAUAAGCGGAGGA
Molecule: unclassified non-coding RNA, 338 nt
Filed under: soil metagenome
Description: partial contains 5.8S ribosomal RNA, internal transcribed spacer 2, and large subunit ribosomal RNA
Rfam family: 5.8S ribosomal RNA (bases 1-121)
Source: RNAcentral